Molecule: long non-coding RNA, 2926 nt
Organism: Magnolia sinica
Lineage: Eukaryota; Viridiplantae; Streptophyta; Magnoliopsida; Magnoliales; Magnoliaceae
Exons: 4
Source: RefSeq, a predicted model, not a curated record
CCUUGAAAUGCAUCACCAGGUCGCAUCCCAUAAGAAGGCUGUUAUAUGUUCCUAUUUAUUUCAAAUAUUAACCUAGUUAGCUCGUAAGUUCAAAUUAAAUGGUUUUGGUUAUACCUUUGAAGGAGUAGCCUCCUGCCAAAAUGUUUAUUAUAGGUUCUUCAAAAGCCGGUAGGAUUCAAGUUUGAUGGCUGAUUAUAUUCUAGUUUUCCAUGAUUGUAUCAUCAUCAUCAUCUAAGCAUUGUCUUAACUAAUUGGGGUCAGCUACAUGAAUCCUAUCUGUCAUUCUACUCUAUCAAGGACCAUAUCCUCGAAGUUAAAAUUAUUUUAGUCAGACUAUGAUUGUAUAAAAGUUAAAAUAGUAUCUUAUCAAUUGAAGUUAAUGGGAUUCUAGUCAAAUUUAAGUGGAAGUUGAGGAUUCCUUCUUCAGAAGUAGUCAUUUCGUGCAUAAUUGUGAUUAUCAUUAUCAAAGCCUUCUCCCUCCUAUUUGGGGUUGGCUUUAUGAGUCGUGUUUUUCCAAUACUUUUUUUAAGGCCCUGAUUCCAAGACCUUUUGGGUCUUCCUCAUCCUCGUUUCAGGCCCUUUUACCUGAAUCAAAGUUUCCAUACUUUUGGAUUGUGUUUGGUCUUAUAUGCUCAUGAAUAAACCAUGUCAAGUUCCACAUUUAUCUUUUAUUAGGACUACUUACUGGGUUGUUUCAGUUGACCUCAUUCUUAAUUCAAUACUGUCGAGUCUUUCAACACAUCCAUCUCAACAUCCUCGUCUCUAAAACAGUCAAUCUCUGUUCAUGUUGCCUUUAUAACUGCACAACACUACUGACCACAUAGCAUAGCUGGUUGAAUAGCUAUGUUAUAAGAUUUAAAAUGAGAAUUUUCACGAUUUCUUGGCAAAAGUUCAAUGACUCAUGGCCACUCAUGCUAAACUGGUUCGUGUGUGGGAUGUGAGCCAUGCAUAAGGUGGACCCCCACCUUGUUGAUGUCAUGGCCCUUAAGUCAGCCAGUCCAGUUAUCAAGGGCUAAACAUGUGUUAAAGCAAUGGACGGCUUAAAAAAAGAAAGCCAGGUAUACAGUAUUUAUCAUUAGACAUGUAUGGUCUCCCUGAUGAGUAGAUGAGACUGUCCAUCUUAUGAAGUUCUUAAUUGUGAGGGAGUACUGCAUAGGUGUAGAGUGUUUGUUUGUUCAGCCUCACAGGUGUAGAGUGCUGCCCAUUCUGACUUGCCAAUAUGGCAUGCAAGAUCUAAGCUUUCAAUCAAGUGGGCCACACUUUUUAGAUGUUCUACUUAAAAAUCAGUAUGCAUCAGUCCUCAGGCCAGAAUGACACACCUGAGAUUUAGGGUACAAGAUCUAAAGAUUGAAGCCCACCUGAGCUUUAGGCUACAAGAUCAAAACAAUGAAGCCCACCUGAGAUUUAGGGUACAAGAUCUAAACAGUGAAGCCCACCUGAUGGACUUAUUGUUGCUCCUGGAGGCUCAAAUCUGGUGGACUUAUUGUUGCUCCUGGUAAGUUGGAGCUUAAUUCAUGUCUCGAUGGCUUUCAUUUUCAGUGUAAAGGGGAACCUGGCAAUGCAGCUGAACAAAAAAUUUUCUUUGAAGAUGGUAGCUCUGACAUGAAGAAGCACUUGCUGACUAAUCUGCCCAAAGGUUGCAAACUGAUGAAAUUGAUCAAAAUUGCAAGACAUUCAUGGAUUAAAAAUUGGAAAAUCCUUCAAGAUUGUGCUAUUUGCUUCCUUUGUGUACUAUCAUUAGAUUGGUAUGCUUUUUAUAUAUCUAUUUUCAAUUUGAGUCUCUUACUCUGCCUGUGAAGGCCUCUGGUUUAUGUAGAAUAAGAGCUUUGUAUCCACAUGGACAAUGAACCAUCAUUAAUGCUCUCUCUCUCUCUCUCUCUCUCUCUCUCUCUCCAAGAAAAUAUAAAGGAAAGAACCAUAAUUAAUGCUACUUUCAUGGUUUUGAGUGGAGCUUUUCAAAUGAUUAUUUUUUCCCUACUUUGAUUCAUUCUUAUUAAAGUGCUCUUGCAUUUGUCUAUGUUCUUGCUCUUCUUCUUUUUGUUUAGUGAUUUUCAUUUAGUGAAUCUUUUACUUAUCCGUUGAUGCAGUUUUGGAGAUUAUGUUUUUGAUCAAGUUGUUGCCCCUGUUCGGGAAACUUGUGCUCAGGCACUAGGUGCCACACUAUGUACAUGCAUCCUUCACUAGUUCAUGAAACACUGAAUAUCUUACUACACAUGCAAGUAAUGAUUAUGAAGGAACUGUGUAGACAAGAAUAAGAAAUUUGUCAUGGAACCCUUUUGGGGAUCAAAUACUUGGUUGUUGUUAGAAGGGUAUGGUGCUUCAUAUAUUCUACCUAUCUUCUUCUUUUGUUUUACUUUGGAGUAGUGUUUCCCAUGCAUCUUUGGGCAUUGGUACCUUUCUAUUGUCCUUUAGUUUCACUUAGUUUGUCAUGGAAAAAGAGAUCUCCGCUUUUAGCGGAGCUAAACCAGAGUCUGCUGCUUCCCCAAAGCAAGGCUGCAUUUGCUCGGACUUUGUACAAUGUACCCCUGAUCAACUCCCUCGUGCUUUACUUAGGCAUGCAGGCUAUCUACACCACUCCCGUGGAUGAUUUUUCAAUCAGUCUUACCAUGGACAUUUUCCAGGUUAUGAUAAUGGAUUUGGAUCUAGAAGGGCGCUACCUUUUCCUAAAUUCAGUUGCCAACCAAUUAUGCUACCCAAGCAGCCAUACCUUCUACUUCUUCUUGGUCCUCUAUUUGUUUUCAGAAGCAAGCCAGGUGAGGACUUGCUGUGUUCAUAAUUCAACUUAUGUUCAAUUAAAUUCAGUAGGAAGGAUGUAGAAUACUUUGUUCACUAUUGUUAUGCAAACUACAGGAGUUGUCAUCAUGUUUCAUAAUUAACAAAAUUGGCUGAAGUAAAUGUCAUUUUUAGUAUUAUUAUCAGUUUGCUA